Long non-coding RNA from Coregonus clupeaformis (lake whitefish), 147 nucleotides. RefSeq lists it as uncharacterized. The transcript has 3 exons. NCBI's taxonomy places the organism in Eukaryota, Metazoa, Chordata, Actinopteri, Salmoniformes, Salmonidae. The record is from RefSeq and is a predicted model, not a curated record.
CAGGUCUUCUAGGAGCGAGAGGUCAAUCUGGUGCUGCUGGGUCAAAGGGCCCAUCAGGUACUCCUGGUGGAAUGGGGCCCCCUGGUGCUGCGGGUCCAGCAGGAAUGCAAGGGGAGAGAGGAAGGAGUGGCCCAACUGGACCUGUGG